GUGCUUGGGCGAGAGUAGUACUAGGAUGGGUGACCCCCUGGGAAGUCCUCGUGUUGCACCCCCCCUCCCCCCUUCUUUUUACAUUUUCUUUAGCUUUUUCAGGGGAAUGUGCCGAAAGGAAACGCGCGUACGAGUGAACGCGACUUAGAAAAAGAGCACGCGCGUCGAAAAACUCACGACGUGCGGCACCGACCCGCGGAAAUAUAGGCACAAAACCGGAUAAUCACAACGGUUGGGAAUAUAGGAGUAAAAAGGGAUGAGGAAAA
This 266-nucleotide ribosomal RNA is filed under the name Polyscias fraxinifolia. Lineage: Eukaryota; Viridiplantae; Streptophyta; Magnoliopsida; Apiales; Araliaceae. The record is from RNAcentral.